GUCCCGUAACGAGCGCAACCCCUAUCCUUAGUUGCCAGCGAGUAAUGUCGGGGACUCUAAGGAGACUGCCGGUGACAAACCGGAGGAAGGCGGGGAUGACGUCAAGUCAUCAUGGCCCUUACGAGUAGGGCUACACACGUGCUACAAUGGGGCGUACAGAGGGUUGCGAAGCAGCGAUGUGGAGCUAAUCUCAGAAAGCGUCUCGUAGUCCGGAUUGGAGUCUGCAACUCGACUCCAUGAAGUCGGAAUCGCUAGUAAUCGUGAAUCAGAAUGUCACGGUCGAAUACGUUCCCGGGCCUU
Molecule: ribosomal RNA, 300 nt
Filed under: uncultured bacterium
Lineage: Bacteria
Description: bacterial SSU rRNA
Rfam family: Bacterial small subunit ribosomal RNA
Source: RNAcentral